Molecule: ribosomal RNA, 421 nt
Filed under: uncultured bacterium
Lineage: Bacteria
Description: bacterial SSU rRNA
Rfam family: Bacterial small subunit ribosomal RNA
Source: RNAcentral
CGUACGCUGGCGGCACGCCUAACACAUGCAAGUCGAACGAAGUAGCAAUACUUAGUGGCAGACGGGUGAGUAACAUGUAGGUAUCUUCCCUUUGGCCUGGAAUAACACGAGGAAACUUGUGCUAAUACCGGAUAAGUCUUUACGGAGAAAGCUUUAUGCACCAUUGGAUGAGCCUGCACUUGAUUAGUUAGUUGGUAGGGUAAUGGCCUACCAAGACUUUGAUCAAUAGCUGAUUUGAGAGGAUGAUCAGCCACAUUGGGACUGAGACACGGCCCAAACUCCUACGGGAGGCAGCAGUGGGGAAUCUUGCACAAUGGAGGAAACUCUGAUGCAGCGAUGCCGCGUGAGUGAAGAAGGCCUUUGGGUUGUAAAGCUCUUUCGUCGGGGAAGAAAAUGACUGUACCCGAAUAAGAAGGUCCGG